AAUAGAUACCCAGGUAGUCCACGCCGUAAACGAUGAGUGCUAAGUGUUAGGGGGGUUCCACCCCUUAGUGCUGCAGCUAACGCAUUAAGCACUCCGCCUGGGGAGUACGGUCGCAAGACUGAAACUCAAAGGAAUUGACGGGGGCCCGCACAAGCGGUGGAGCAUGUGGUUUAAUUCGAAGCAACGCGAAGAACCUUACCAGGUCUUGACAUCCCGCUGACCGCCAUGGAGACAUGGCCUUCCCUUCGGGGACAGCGGUGACAGGUGGUGCAUGGUUGUCGUCAGCUCGUGUCGUGAGAUGUUGGGUUAAGUCCCGCAACGAGCGCAACCCUUGUCCUUAGUUGCCAUCAUUCAGUUGGGCACUCUAAGGAGACUGCCGUACAAAUACGGAGGAAGGCGGGGAUGACGUCAAAUCAUCAUGCCCCUUAUGACCUGGGCUACGCACGUGCUACAAUGGGUGGUACAAAGGGCGGCGAACCCGCGAGGGGAGCGAAUCCCAAAAAGCCACUCUCAGUUCGGAUUGCAGG
Molecule: ribosomal RNA, 527 nt
Filed under: uncultured bacterium
Lineage: Bacteria
Description: bacterial SSU rRNA
Rfam family: Bacterial small subunit ribosomal RNA
Source: RNAcentral